UGGGGAAUAUUGGACAAUGGGCGAAAGCCUGAUCCAGCCAUGCCGCGUGUGUGAAGAAGGUCUUCGGAUUGUAAAGCACUUUAAGUUGGGAGGAAGGGCAGUAAGUUAAUACCUUGCUGCUUUGACGUUACCGACAGAAUAAGCACCGGCUAACUCUGUGCCAGCAGCCGCGGUAAUACAGAGGGUGCAAGCGUUAAUCGGAAUUACUGGGCGUAAAGCGCGCGUAGGUGGUCUGUUAAGUUGGAUGUGAAAGCCCCGGGCUCAACCUGGGAACUGCAUCCAAGACUGGCAAGCUAGAGUACGGUAGAGGGUGGUGGAAUUUCCUGUGUAGCGGUGAAAUGCGUAGAUAUAGGAAGGAACACCAGUGGCGAAGGCGACCACCUGGACUGAUACUGACACUGAGGUGCGAAAGCGUGGGGAGCAAACA
Molecule: ribosomal RNA, 427 nt
Filed under: uncultured bacterium
Lineage: Bacteria
Description: partial 16S ribosomal RNA
Rfam family: Bacterial small subunit ribosomal RNA
Source: RNAcentral